This 400-nucleotide ribosomal RNA is filed under the name Anaerosomatales bacterium. RNAcentral describes it as "partial 23S ribosomal RNA". It matches the Rfam family "Bacterial large subunit ribosomal RNA", at positions 2527 to 2925 of the family's 2925-position model. Lineage: Bacteria; Bacillati; Actinomycetota; Coriobacteriia; Anaerosomatales. The record is from RNAcentral.
CGAUGUCGGCUCAUCGCAUCCUGGGGCUGUAGCAGGUCCCAAGGGUAUGGCUGUUCGCCAUUUAAAGCGGUACGCGAGCUGGGUUUAGAACGUCGUGAGACAGUUCGGUCCCUAUCCACCGUGGGCGUAAGAGACUUGAGAGAAGCUGUCCCUAGUACGAGAGGACCGGGAUGGACGAACCUCUGGUGUACCAGUUGUCACGCCAGUGGCACCGCUGGUUAGCUACGUUCGGUUUGGAUAACCGCUGAAAGCAUCUAAGCGGGAAGCCAAUCUCAAGAUGAGGUCUCUCACUGGGUUAACCAGGUAAGGCCCCUCGUAGACUACGAGGUUGAUAGGCUGCAGGUGUAAGCGCAGCAAUGUGUUCAGCCGAGCAGUACUAAUAGGCCGAGGUCUUGAUCUC